This 649-nucleotide ribosomal RNA is filed under the name uncultured bacterium. RNAcentral describes it as "bacterial SSU rRNA". It matches the Rfam family "Bacterial small subunit ribosomal RNA", at positions 8 to 632 of the family's 1533-position model. The record is from RNAcentral.
AGAGUUUGAUCCUGGCUCAGGACUAACGCUGGCGGCAUGCAUCAUACAUGCAAGUCAAACGGGAAGUGUUGUGGCAACAUAGUGCUUCCAGUGGCGCACGGGUGAGUAACACGUAGGUAACCUACCCUGGGGAGGGGAAUAACAUGCCGAAAGGCGUGCUAAUACCCCAUAGCAUCCGAGAGCCGCAUGGCUCAUGGAUUAAAGGACGGCCUCUGUUUCAUGCUUCCACCCCGGGAGGGACCUGCGCACUAUCAGCUUGUUGGUGGGGUAAAGGCCUACCAAGGCAAUGACGGUUAGCCGGCUUGAGAGAGUGAACGGCCACACUGGAACUGAGACACGGUCCAGACUCCUACGGGAGGCAGCAGUAGGGAAUCUUCCGCAAUGGGCGAAAGCCUGACGGAGCAAUGCCGCGUGAGGGAUGAAGGCCUUCGGGUUGUAAACUUCUUUUCUAGGGGAAGAAGGUUGGUUUGGUAACUCUGAUCAACUUGACGGUACCUUGGGAAUAAGCCCCGGCUAAUUACGUGCCAGCAGCCGCGGUAAUACGUAAGGGGCAAGCGUUGUCCGGAUUCACUGGGCGUAAAGGGCGCGUAAGCGGUUUGGUAAGUAGAGGGUGCAAGCUCCGAGCUUAACUCGGAAAUUGCCCUCUAAA